GACUACCGGGGUAUCUAAUCCUGUUUGCUCCCCACGCUUUCGUGCAUGAGCGUCAGUACAGGUCCAGGGGAUUGCCUUCGCCAUCGGUGUUCCUCCGCAUAUCUACGCAUUUCACUGCUACACGCGGAAUUCCAUCCCCCUCUACCGUACUCUAGCUAUACAGUCUCAAAUGCAGGUCCCAGGUUGAGCCCGGGGAUUUCACAUCUGACUUAUAUAACCGCCUGCGCACGCUUUACGCCCAGUAAUUCCGAUUAACGCUUGCACCCUACGUAUUACCGCGGCUGCUGGCACGUAGUUAGCCGGUGCUUAUUCUUACGGUACCGUCAUGAGCCCCAGGUAUUAACCAGAGCCUUUUCGUUCCGUACAAAAGCAGUUUACAACCCGAAGGCCUUCAUCCUGCACGCGGCAUUGCUGGAUCAGGCUUGCGCCCAUUGUCCAAAAUUCCCCACUGCAGCCCCCCGUAGG
This 465-nucleotide ribosomal RNA is filed under the name uncultured Comamonadaceae bacterium. RNAcentral describes it as "partial 16S ribosomal RNA". Lineage: Bacteria; Pseudomonadati; Pseudomonadota; Betaproteobacteria; Burkholderiales; Comamonadaceae. The record is from RNAcentral.